GAGGGUACAGCUCAGUGGUAGAGCGCAUGCUCAGCAUGCACAAGGUCCUGGGUUCGAUCCCCAGUACCUCCA
Molecule: transfer RNA, 72 nt
Filed under: Camelus bactrianus (Bactrian camel)
Lineage: Eukaryota; Metazoa; Chordata; Mammalia; Artiodactyla; Camelidae
Also listed under: 2 other names
Rfam family: tRNA
About the family: Transfer RNA (tRNA) molecules are approximately 80 nucleotides in length.
Source: Rfam by way of RNAcentral